Long non-coding RNA from Coregonus clupeaformis (lake whitefish), 440 nucleotides. RefSeq lists it as uncharacterized. The record is from RefSeq and is a predicted model, not a curated record. Lineage: Eukaryota; Metazoa; Chordata; Actinopteri; Salmoniformes; Salmonidae. The transcript has 3 exons.
AGAAGACUGCGCUGUGUGAAUGAGCUGUCCCUUGCUGUAGAUGUCAACAGCCAAGUACCGAAGGAGCGAAAUGGAACAGCAAAGUUGGACUUCCUCAGAAAGACAGGAAAUCCAACAGAAAUGGGAGAAGGAAAGAACGUUUGAUUGUGACGCACACACCACUAUUGGGGAAAGCACAAAAAGGGCGACGUGAAGCCCCCAGCCAAGCCCUCCCACUGCACCAUCCAAGUGGCCAAGACGUACCCCUCCUGGCAGCACAAUACCCUCUCUCUGCUGGGAAAACACUACAAGACGAGUACUAACCCCCAGGAAUCUGCCUGGUUGGGAAUCAGACCGGGAAGACUGAGUGAGCCUAUGAACUUCACUCAACUGUAUGUCCCAAAUAGCACUAUAAGCGGAAUAGGGUCCUAUAGGGCUCUGGUCAAAACUAGUGCACAAUG